RNAcentral lists this ribosomal RNA (467 nucleotides) under uncultured bacterium. Its description in RNAcentral is "bacterial SSU rRNA". It matches the Rfam family "Bacterial small subunit ribosomal RNA", at positions 328 to 792 of the family's 1533-position model. The record is from RNAcentral.
UUUCCAGACUCCUACGGGGGCAGCAGUGAGGAAUAUUGGUCAAUGGACGAGAGUCUGAACCAGCCAAGUAGCGUGAAGGAUGACUGCCCUAUGGGUUGUAAACUUCUUUUAUAUGGGAAUAAAAUGUUCCACGUGUGGGAUUUUGUAUGUACCAUAUGAAUAAGGAUCGGCUAACUCCGUGCCAGCAGCCGCGGUAAUACGGAGGAUCCGAGCGUUAUCCGGAUUUAUUGGGUUUAAAGGGUGCGUAGGCUGUGAGGUAAGUCAGCGGUGAAAUGCCCCCGCUCAACGGGGUGAAGUGCCAUUGAUACUGCCUUGCUGGAAUGCGGAUGCCGUGGGAGGAAUGUGUGGUGUAGCGGUGAAAUGCAUAGAUAUCACACAGAACACCGAUUGCGAAGGCAUCUCACGAAUCCGCGAUUGACGCUGAUGCACGAAAGCGUGGGUAUCAAACAGGAUUAGAUACCCUUGUA